CGGCUGUGUAAACUGACGUUGAGUAACACCAAAAGCUCCGUCAGAAUCGGGAAGGACCUCUCCGAGCCGUUCGAUACCAAACGAGGUUUCAGACAAGGCGACUCCCUAUCGUGCGACUUUUUCAACCUGCUUCUGGAGAAAAUAGUUCGAGCUGCAGAACUCAAUAGAGAAGGUACCAUCUUCUAUAAGAGUGUACAGCUGCUGGCGUAUGCCGAUGAUAUUGAUGUCAUCGGCCUCAACACCCGCGCCGUUAGUUCUGCUUUCUCCAGGCUGGACAAGGAAGCACAGAAAAUGGGUCUGGCAGUGAACGAGGGCAAGACGAAAUACCUCCUGUCAUCAAACAAACAGUCGUCGCACUCGCGACUUGGCUCUCACGUCACUGUUGACAGUCAUAACUUUCAAGUUGUAGAUAAUUUCGUCUAUUUAGGAACCAGUAUUAACACCACUAACAAUGUCAGCCUGGAAAUCAAACGCAGGAUUGCUCUUGCCAACAGGUGCUACUUCGGACUAGGUAGGCAAUUGAAAAGUAAAGUCCUCUCUCGACGAACAAAAGCCAAACUCUAUAAGUCGCUCAUAAUCCCCGUCCUGCUAUAUGGUGCAGAGGCUUGGACGAUGACAACAACCGAUGAGUCGACGUUACGAGUUUUCGAGAGAAAAGUUCUGUGAAGGAUUUAUGGUCCUUUGCGCAUUAUACACGGCGAAUAUUGCAUUCGAUGGAACGAUGAGCUGUACGAGAUAUAAGACGACAUUGACAUAGUUCAGCGAAUUAAAAGACAGCGGCUACGCUGGCUAGGUCAUGUCCGGAUGGACGAAAACACUCCAGCUCUGAAAGUAUUUGACGCAGUACCGCCGGGGGAAGCAGAGGAAGAGGAAGACCUCUACUCCGUUGGAAGGACCAAGUGGAGAAGAACCUGGCUUCGCUUGGAAUAUCCAAUUGAAGAAUUGAAGAAGAAGAAUAAAUGUUUCAAUAAACACAAACUCAGUUCAAUUAGGAAAAGAAAGUGUUUUACGGUUAUAUGGCAGAGUUACAAUUGUUCUGUCGCGACGGGUUGCUAUACAUUUGAAACAAAAAAUAAUUCGAAAUAAAUCGGAGUUGUAAUAAAAACAAACUCGACAA
This is a long non-coding RNA of Bactrocera neohumeralis, 1117 nucleotides long. RefSeq lists it as uncharacterized. The record is from RefSeq and is a predicted model, not a curated record. The transcript is spliced from 2 exons. Lineage: Eukaryota; Metazoa; Arthropoda; Insecta; Diptera; Tephritidae.